This is a long non-coding RNA of Bos taurus (domestic cattle), 481 nucleotides long. The record is from Ensembl. Lineage: Eukaryota; Metazoa; Chordata; Mammalia; Artiodactyla; Bovidae.
GGAGGAUUACCACGGCAAGCUGUAAACCGAAGCAUCAAGCCGGCUGCUCCACCACCCCAAGGCCUGAUCACUGGGACCCGGGAGAAGUCGGACUGAAACAAAAGAGGAGCCUGAGGGCGGCGGCGGAGGACUCAGAACAGUCUAGCACCCAAGGCCAACACAGAAGCUGGCUGAGGCAGGCCCUCUGUGCCUGCGAGGGCAGUGUCCUUGGCCAUGUGUCCUGGGAGAGAAAAAAGCGGGUCUUAGAGUGGGCCUUAGAGUCUUAGGAGCUCUUAGACUUCCCUGCUGGCUCAGACGGUAAAGCGUCUGUCUACAAUGCAGGAGACCUGGGUUCGAUCCCUGGGUCGGGAAGUUCCCUGGAAAAGGAAAAUGCAACCCACUCCAGUACUCUUGCCUAGAAAAUCCCAUGGACAGAGGAGCCUGGUGUCCAUGGGAUUGCAAAGAGUCGGACACGACUGAGCUACUUCACAUUCUUUAGAGC